UUAUAUAAUUACUUAAAUCGGUUAAUAAUAACAUAGUUUAAAAACCAAAGAACUUGGCGGUGUUUUAUAAAAUCAGGGGAGCCUGUUACUUAAUAUGAUAAUCCACAAAUAUCUUACCAUGUUUUGAAAUUACCAGUUUGUAUACUACCGUAAAGUUUAGCUUAAAUAUCUAAACAAUAAAUAAUAUCUUAUACUCAAAUAUAAAACAGGCCAUAGUGCAACUAAUAACAUGUGUGAAAAAUGGGCUACACUUAACUACAUAAACAUUAAAAUAAAUAAUAAUCUUAGAACUUGACAGUAAUAAAGUUUUACUAUAAAUUUAUCAAUUACCAAUAAUACAUGUACAUAUCGCCCGUCACUUUCGUUGAAAAAUG
Molecule: ribosomal RNA, 374 nt
Filed under: Inanidrilus leukodermatus
Lineage: Eukaryota; Metazoa; Annelida; Clitellata; Tubificida; Naididae
Description: partial 12S ribosomal RNA
Source: RNAcentral